UACGGAGGGUGCAACCGUUGCUCGGAAUCACUGGGCGUAAAGCGCACGUAGGCGGCUCGAAAAGUCGGAUGUGAAAGCCCUGGGCUCAACCUAGGAAGUGCAUUCGAAACUGCCGAGCUUGAGUACGGGAGAGGGUUGCGGAAUUCCCGGUGUAGAGGUGAAAUUCGUAGAUAUCGGGAGGAACACCAGUGGCGAAGGCGGCAGCCUGGACCGAUACUGACGCUGAGGUGCGAAAGCGUGGGGAGCAAACAGG
RNAcentral lists this ribosomal RNA (253 nucleotides) under uncultured bacterium. Its description in RNAcentral is "partial 16S ribosomal RNA". It matches the Rfam family "Bacterial small subunit ribosomal RNA", at positions 524 to 776 of the family's 1533-position model. The record is from RNAcentral.